AAGCUCAGCUUCUCAGGUCUUUUCUCCUCUUUUCUCAAGUAGCGGGGCCAAAGAUUGCUUCCAAAUGAACCAUCAUUCAUUUACAAGCACAGCAAGCAUUUUGAGUUUUACCAACAAUUUUCUUUUUCUUGGUAUCCUCUGCUUCCCCGUAGCUUAACCCUGACGGAAAAGGAGGAUGUCGUUCGGUUCUCAUCAAGACAAGAAUCGGGCUGGGGAACAAAGAGGAUAGAUAAACGCAUUCAGGACUGGGCUGGAGAACUAGGCAACAGUUGUGAACAUAGCUGUCACUUCUAAAACUAACCAGCUGAGACUCUGAGAUGUGAAGCCAUUCACCCAAGAUCACCCAGGGGAUACAAGGCGGAGCUCAGUUGAAGCAGCUUUAUUGUGGAGAAAGACCAGCAAUGGGUACCACUCUGAGUCAGCUAUGAUCACUGGUACCCAGCAGACAGGCUCUCAGCGCCAGGUGUCAGAGGAUGAUGGGCGGCUACACAAGAAGAAGGAUGCUGAGCUGAAGGGAGAGUGUACUGAAAGAGUGGUGCCAUGGCAACCUGCAGGCAAGCCCUGUGCAAGAAGCAACAAAAGGAAGAAGUACUGGAGUGUGGUGGCUCAUAAAAGGCUGAAGCAGGCAAAUUCCUGUGAGUUGGAAGACAUCUUGGACUACAGAAUGAGACUCCUCUAAAACU
Long non-coding RNA from Mus caroli (Ryukyu mouse), 683 nucleotides. RefSeq lists it as uncharacterized. Lineage: Eukaryota; Metazoa; Chordata; Mammalia; Rodentia; Muridae. The record is from RefSeq and is a predicted model, not a curated record.